UACGUAGGGCGCAAGCGUUAUCCGGAAUUAUUGGGCGUAAAGAGCUCGUAGGCGGUCUGUCGCGUCGGCUGUGAAAUCCCGAAGCUCAACCUCGGGUCUGCAGUCGAUACGGGCAAACUAGAGUAUUGCAGGGGAGACUGGAAUUCCCGGUGUAGCGGUGAAAUGCGCAGAUAUCGGGAGGAACACCGGUGGCGAAGGCGGUUCUCUGGGCCUGUACUGACGCUGAGGAGCGAAAGCGUGGGGAGCAAACGGG
Molecule: ribosomal RNA, 253 nt
Filed under: uncultured bacterium
Lineage: Bacteria
Description: partial 16S ribosomal RNA
Rfam family: Bacterial small subunit ribosomal RNA
Source: RNAcentral